This 231-nucleotide ribosomal RNA is filed under the name uncultured bacterium. RNAcentral's name for it is "partial 16S ribosomal RNA". It matches the Rfam family "Bacterial small subunit ribosomal RNA", at positions 335 to 559 of the family's 1533-position model. The record is from RNAcentral.
ACUCCUACGGGAGGCAGCAGUGAGGAAUAUUGGACAAUGGGCGGGAGCCUGAUCCAGCCAUGCCGCGUGCAGGAAGACUGCCUAUGGGUUGUAAACUGCUUUUGUACAGGGAAGAAACACUCCCUCGUGAGGGAUGCUUGGACUGGUGACUGUAAGAAUAAGGAUCGGCUAACUCCGUGCCAGCAGCCGCGGUAAUACGGAGGAUCCAAGCGUUAUCCGGAAUCAUUGGGG